AGACCCGAAACCCGGUGAUCUAGCCAUGGGCAGGUUGAAGGUUGGGUAACACUAACUGGAGGACCGAACCGACUAAUGUUGAAAAAUUAGCGGAUGACCUGUGGCUGGGGGUGAAAGGCCAAUCAAACCGGGAGAUAGCUGGUUCUCCCCGAAAGCUAUUUAGGUAGCGCCUCGUGAAUUCAUCUCCGGGGGUAGAGCACUGUUUCGGCUAGGGGGCCAUCCCGGCUUACCAACCCGAUGCAAACUGCGAAUACCGGAGAAUGUUAUCACGGGAGACACACGGCGGGUGCUAACGUCCGUCGUGAAGAGGGAAACAACCCAGACCGCCAGCUAAGGUCCCAAAGUCAUGGUUAAGUGGGAAACGAUGUGGGAAGGCCCAGACAGCCAGGAUGUUGGCUUAGAAGCAGCCAUCAUUUAAAGAAAGCGUAAUAGCUCACUGGUCGAGUCGGCCUGCGCGGAAGAUGUAACGGGGCUAAACCAUGCACCGAAGCUGCGGCAGCGACACUGUGUGUUGUUGGGUAGGGGAGCGUUCUGUAAGCCUGUGAAGGUGGCCUGUGAGGGUUGCUGGAGGUAUCAGAAGUGCGAAUGCUGACAUAAGUAACGAUAAAGCGGGUGAAAAGCCCGCUCGCCGGAAGACCAAGGGUUCCUGUCCAACGUUAA
This 660-nucleotide ribosomal RNA is filed under the name Salmonella enterica subsp. enterica serovar Tennessee. RNAcentral describes it as "partial 23S ribosomal RNA". It matches the Rfam family "Bacterial large subunit ribosomal RNA", at positions 711 to 1368 of the family's 2925-position model. Lineage: Bacteria; Pseudomonadati; Pseudomonadota; Gammaproteobacteria; Enterobacterales; Enterobacteriaceae. The record is from RNAcentral. RNAcentral also lists the same sequence under 1 other name.